UCCAGGGCCAAACCACCCUGAACACAUUCGAUCUUGCUAGAUCUUGGGAGCUAAGCAGAGUUGGGCCUGGUUAGUACUUGGCUGGGAGAGGAGACCACAAGCAGGUACUGCUGAAA
RNAcentral lists this ribosomal RNA (116 nucleotides) under Ochotona princeps (American pika). Lineage: Eukaryota; Metazoa; Chordata; Mammalia; Lagomorpha; Ochotonidae. The record is from RNAcentral.